GGUUCGACCCCUAUCUGGCGCGUUCUGGUCUGUCUUUUUCUUUUUUAUUCUUUUUUCUCUCUGGCUCUAAAACCCUAGCCCCCCCCAGUCCUGUGGAGGUUCUAUUUUUGUUAACAGAAGACAAGGACACAGCAAAGAAGGCAGCUAUGAAGGAGUUUGACAUCAUUGGAAACACUCUCUAUGUUGCUCUCUUCACGGAUGUCACCAACUCCAAGGAAAUGCUUGAAUCUAUGCAAGCUGGAACACUGGAACCAGAAGUUGCAUUUCUCAAUGCAUCACUUAUUCCAGAUGUUUUUCCAGUUCUAGCAGCUGCACACAAGACACUUGUAGCCAAGUCACGGGAGUCAUUGACAACACGCACUCUUCAUUCUGAGCUCGUAUACAAUUACUCAGGAUCUAAGCAUAUUACAGAAUCUUUGAAAAGGUGUGGAAUCUCUGAUAGCACAACGUACAUCCUUGCCGCUCGUUUCAAUGCUACUCUUGAUGAGAUGAAAGCCAUAGAGAAACUUAUCAGUGGAAAAGAGAUUGCCUUGGAGGAGUUGGAGGGAAGAGCAAACCAGACCCAGAUACAAAAGCACUAUAAGAUAUCUGGCCAGGAACUAGGGAUAUCCUCACUUGCAGAUGCUAUUACAUGCCGGAUCGCUGCUCGGGACGCCUUGUGAGAAGAAAGAAACUUCUCCACCCAAUCUGCACCAUCACUGCCCCAAAUCCGCAGCCCCACCAGGGCACUGCCCAGGCCGGAUGCUACCGCCACCGACUGGGCCGGACGCUACUACCACUGCCCGGACUGGACCACGCCGCCAACACCCAGGUCAAACGCUGCUACCCUGACGGUUCAGCCACUGCUCCACCUCUCUUUUGCAGGUUUGAGGUUUUCAAUAACCUAUUCCAGUGCUUCCAGUCCUCCCUGUCAGCAAUUUUAAGAGCUUAUAUGACUUCAUCAGUCUCUGCAAUAGGAUAUACUGCAGAGCUUCCAUCAUCUACAACCUUAUGGACCAAAGUUUCCAAACUUAUGUUCAGUAUGAGAAGCAGAGCUCAAUUGUCAGUAUGAGGUGCAAUGCUUUGGUUCAAGUUCCAACUGCUUGUGAAGAUCGGCAUGUUGAGCUCAUUCUGUCAGUAUCAGAUGGAUUGGUUUCUCUUUCACUAGCUCGACUGCUAAGUAACCAGACGAGCAUGGUUCACUCAAGUCUAGAGCUCACCCUGAAGAAGCUCAUUCUCGAGUUUUGUUAAAUCAAGCACCUUUCAUAAAACCUUCAGCCACCGGAGUUUUAGAAUUGCAAGAGGAGAAUCAAUAGAAAAAUUGGCCAAAGUUUUGGAGUUGCUGCGGUAGAAGCAAACACCUAUGGAAAUCCUUGAAGUUGCUAAUUUUUGUGUGGUGUGGCCUUUUUUUGUGAGGUUGUAAUGCACAAGUUAUGGUUGUAUAUGGCUAUAUGUGAUUGGUUUUUUAGUUAUGAAUAUCUAUAGUAAAUGAGUACUACAGGUACUUUUGUAUAUGGCUACAACUAAGUAUUUUGGGAAGUUAUAUUAAUGCACUGAAAUUGUGAAUUCCAACUUGAUUUGUUUAUUCGUCUAUGAUAGGAGGUUUUUUGCUAUU
RNA transcript from Alnus glutinosa, 1594 nucleotides. RefSeq lists it as uncharacterized. The transcript is spliced from 8 exons. The record is from RefSeq and is a predicted model, not a curated record. Lineage: Eukaryota; Viridiplantae; Streptophyta; Magnoliopsida; Fagales; Betulaceae.